UACGUAGGGUGCAAGCGUUAAUCGGAAUUACUGGGCGUAAAGCGUGCGCAGGCGGUUAUGUAAGACAGAUGUGAAAUCCCCGGGCUCAACCCGGGAACUGCGUCCGAUACUGGCAGGCUUGAAUCCGGGAGAGGGAUGUGGAAUUCCAGGUGUAGCGGUGAAAUGCGUAGAUAUCUGGAGGAACACCGGUGGCGAAGGCGGCGUUCUGGACUGCAACUGACACUGUAAAACGAAAGCCAGGGGAGCAAACGGG
Molecule: ribosomal RNA, 253 nt
Filed under: uncultured bacterium
Lineage: Bacteria
Description: partial 16S ribosomal RNA
Rfam family: Bacterial small subunit ribosomal RNA
Source: RNAcentral